Unclassified non-coding RNA from Pongo abelii (Sumatran orangutan), 148 nucleotides. It matches the Rfam family "Metazoan signal recognition particle RNA". From Rfam's summary of the family: The signal recognition particle (SRP) is a universally conserved ribonucleoprotein. The record is from Ensembl. NCBI's taxonomy places the organism in Eukaryota, Metazoa, Chordata, Mammalia, Primates, Hominidae.
GCCAGGCAUGGUGGCGCAUGCCUGUAAUCCCAGCUACUUGGGAGGCUGAGGCAGGAGAAUUGCUUGAACCCGGGAGGCAGAGGUUGCAGUGAGCUGAGAUCGUGCCAUUGCACUCCAGCCUGGGCAACAGGGCAAGACUCCGUCUCAA